This is a non-coding RNA of Acanthosepion pharaonis, 110 nucleotides long. The record is from the annotation of a GenBank genome assembly. Lineage: Eukaryota; Metazoa; Mollusca; Cephalopoda; Sepiida; Sepiidae.
GGCCACAUCACUUUGAAACACCGGUUCUAGUAGGAUCAUCGAAGUUAAGCGACGCCGUACCAGGUCAGUACCCAGAUGGGUGACCGCGUGGGAAUACCAGGUGCUGUAAG